This is a non-coding RNA of Triticum aestivum (bread wheat), 115 nucleotides long. The record is from Rfam. Lineage: Eukaryota; Viridiplantae; Streptophyta; Magnoliopsida; Poales; Poaceae.
UAAGUAUUCCCUCCGCCCGGAAUUACUUGUCAUCAAAAUGGAUGUGUCUAGAACUAAAAUACAUCUAGAUACAUCCAUUUCAAUGACAAGUAUUUUCGGACGGAGGGAGUACAAG